GGAGGUGUAGCUCAGCACGGUUAGAGCACAUGCCUGUCACGCAUGGGGCCGCGAGUUCAAGUCUCGUCACCUCCG
This 75-nucleotide transfer RNA is filed under the name Spirochaetes bacterium GWF1_41_5. RNAcentral describes it as "tRNA-Asp". It matches the Rfam family "tRNA". From Rfam's summary of the family: Transfer RNA (tRNA) molecules are approximately 80 nucleotides in length. Their secondary structure includes four short double-helical elements and three loops (D, anti-codon, and T loops). Lineage: Bacteria; Pseudomonadati; Spirochaetota. The record is from RNAcentral. RNAcentral also lists the same sequence under 1 other name.